UACGGAGGGGGCUAGCGUUGUUCGGAAUUACUGGGCGUAAAGCGUACGUAGGCGGCUUGGUAAGUUAGAGGUGAAAGCCUGGGGCUCAACCCCAGAAUUGCCUUUAAGACUGCCUCGCUUGAACGUCGGAGAGGUGAGUGGAAUUCCGAGUGUAGAGGUGAAAUUCGUAGAUAUUCGGAAGAACACCAGUGGCGAAGGCGGCUCACUGGACGACUGUUGACGCUGAGGUACGAAAGCGUGGGGAGCAAACAGGAUUAGAUACCCUGGUAGUCCACGCCGUAAACGAUGAUAACUAGCUGUCCGGGCACUUGGUGCUUGGGUGGCGCAGCUAACGCAUUAAGUUAUCCGCCUGGGGAGUACGGCCGCAAGGUUAAA
This 375-nucleotide ribosomal RNA is filed under the name uncultured bacterium. RNAcentral describes it as "bacterial SSU rRNA". It matches the Rfam family "Bacterial small subunit ribosomal RNA", at positions 524 to 898 of the family's 1533-position model. The record is from RNAcentral.